GGCUUCUUGCGACCCUAGAGCCUUCGCGCGGGAAACUUGCUGGGUAACGUAAAUUACAGAAACGGAGUUUAGAAGUAUGCAGUCCGGUGUACCAGAUGGAGGAAAAUUGAGGACGUUUGUCUCUGUCAGAUGACCUCUACGCUUUGUUGGGGGAAGAAAUGAACGCUAUUCACACAAGAGACAGAUGGAGCAAGUGGCCCAGGUGGUGUACUAAUCAAAGCCAUUCUCUGAAGUGACAAGAGGAAAGUGAGUCAUUUGGUGAGGCCACCUGGAUUGAAACUGGGCUGCUUGCCCGAGGAGUACAUGAGGAAGGAACUGUCCUACCAUGCCGUCAGCCUGAAGUCUACUUAUAUGUGGUUCAUACACAGUAAAUCCUUGUAGGGAUAACUGACUGGGAUGCAACUGCUUGUCCUUGAAUAUAUGCAAGGAGUGAUUACAUAACUUACCUUAACCUUUAGGAAGGGACUUUACCUCCCAGGUUCUUCACUGGUAACAGGAGUGCAUUCCCCUUACCUCCCCGACUAGGGGUGAGAUAAAUAGGAUAAAGGGCCUGGUGCCAGGGCGCCUGGGUGGCUCAGUCGCUAAGCGUCUGCCUUCGG
Non-coding RNA from Callorhinus ursinus (northern fur seal), 599 nucleotides. The record is from RefSeq and is a predicted model, not a curated record. NCBI's taxonomy places the organism in Eukaryota, Metazoa, Chordata, Mammalia, Carnivora, Otariidae.